UGUCCGAUGGCUGAGCCAUAAGCGGUAGACUGUAGAUCUAUUAACGGAGUUAAGUCUCCUCGACAA
Molecule: transfer RNA, 66 nt
Filed under: Conus miles
Lineage: Eukaryota; Metazoa; Mollusca; Gastropoda; Neogastropoda; Conidae
Description: tRNA-Tyr
Rfam family: tRNA
About the family: Transfer RNA (tRNA) molecules are approximately 80 nucleotides in length. Their secondary structure includes four short double-helical elements and three loops (D, anti-codon, and T loops). Further hydrogen bonds mediate the characteristic L-shaped molecular structure. tRNAs have two regions of fundamental functional importance: the anti-codon, which is responsible for specific mRNA codon recognition, and the 3' end, to which the tRNAs corresponding amino acid is attached (by aminoacyl-tRNA synthetases). tRNAs cope with the degeneracy of the genetic code in two manners: having more than one tRNA (with a specific anti-codon) for a particular amino acid; and 'wobble' base-pairing, i.e. permitting non-standard base-pairing at the 3rd anti-codon position.
Source: RNAcentral